GAGAGAACGUUGCGUCAGCAAUGGCCCGAAGGGCGAGCCACGUAGUGGCGAGUUAUCCUCUAUCACCGACCA
RNAcentral lists this small RNA (72 nucleotides) under Klebsiella michiganensis. RNAcentral describes it as "partial RtT sRNA". It matches the Rfam family "RtT RNA", at positions 59 to 130 of the family's 130-position model. Rfam says of the family: This family represents a bacterial cis-regulatory element known as RtT RNA. The exact function of RtT is unknown although it is thought that it may be involved in changing the cellular response in relation to amino acid starvation. Lineage: Bacteria; Pseudomonadati; Pseudomonadota; Gammaproteobacteria; Enterobacterales; Enterobacteriaceae. The record is from RNAcentral.